UGGGGAAUAUUGCACAAUGGGGGAAACCCUGAUGCAGCGACGCCGCGUGAGUGAAGAAGUAUUUCGGUAUGUAAAGCUCUAUCAGCAGGGAAGAAAAUGACGGUACCUGAGUAAGAAGCCCCGGCUAACUACGUGCCAGCAGCCGCGGUAAUACGGAGGGUGCGAGCGUUAAUCGGAAUAACUGGGCGUAAAGGGCACGCAGGCGGUGACUUAAGUGAGGUGUGAAAGCCCCGGGCUUAACCUGGGAAUUGCAUUUCAUACUGGGUCGCUAGAGUACUUUAGGGAGGGGUAGAAUUCCACGUGUAGCGGUGAAAUGCGUAGAGAUGUGGAGGAAUACCGAAGGCGAAGGCAGCCCCUUGGGAAUGUACUGACGCUCAUGUGCGAAAGCGUGGGGAGCAAACAGGAUUAGAUACCCUGGUAGUCCACGCCGUAAACGAUGAGCACUAGGUGUCGGGGUCGCAAGACUUCGGUGCCGCAGUUAACGCAUUAAGUGCUCCGCCUGGGGAGUACGCACGCAAGUGUA
Molecule: ribosomal RNA, 523 nt
Filed under: uncultured bacterium
Lineage: Bacteria
Description: bacterial SSU rRNA
Rfam family: Bacterial small subunit ribosomal RNA
Source: RNAcentral